This 253-nucleotide ribosomal RNA is filed under the name uncultured bacterium. RNAcentral's name for it is "partial 16S ribosomal RNA". It matches the Rfam family "Bacterial small subunit ribosomal RNA", at positions 524 to 776 of the family's 1533-position model. The record is from RNAcentral.
UACGAAGGGGGCUGGCGUUGCUCGGAAUCACUGGGCGUAAAGCGCACGUAGGCGGAUUGCUAAGUCAGGGGUGAAAUCCUGGAGCUCAACUCCAGAACUGCCUUUGAUACUGGCAACCUUGAGUCCGGGAGAGGUGAGUGGAACUGCGAGUGUAGAGGUGAAAUUCGUAGAUAUUCGCAAGAACACCAGUGGCGAAGGCGGCUCACUGGCCCGGUACUGACGCUGAGGUGCGAAAGCGUGGGGAGCAAACAGG